This 399-nucleotide ribosomal RNA is filed under the name uncultured bacterium. RNAcentral's name for it is "bacterial SSU rRNA". It matches the Rfam family "Bacterial small subunit ribosomal RNA", at positions 359 to 774 of the family's 1533-position model. The record is from RNAcentral.
GGAUAUUGCGCAAUGGGGGAAACCCUGACGCAGCAACGCCGCGUGGAGGAUGACGGUUUUCGGAUUGUAAACUCCUUUUAUGAGGGACGAACUAAGACGGUACCUCAUGAAUAAGCUCCGGCUAACUACGUGCCAGCAGCCGCGGUAAUACGUAGGGAGCAAGCGUUGUCCGGAUUUACUGGGUGUAAAGGGUGCGUAGGCGGCUAGGCAAGUCAGGUGUGAAAUGCAUGGGCUCAACCCAUGAACUGCACUUGAAACUGUUUAGCUUGAGUGAAGUAGAGGCAGGCGGAAUUCCCUGUGUAGCGGUGAAAUGCGUAGAGAUAGGGAGGAACACCAGUGGCGAAGGCGGCCUGCUGGGCUUUAACUGACGCUGAGGCACGAAAGCGUGGGUAGCAAACA